This 492-nucleotide ribosomal RNA is filed under the name uncultured bacterium. Its description in RNAcentral is "partial 16S ribosomal RNA". It matches the Rfam family "Bacterial small subunit ribosomal RNA", at positions 29 to 507 of the family's 1533-position model. The record is from RNAcentral.
AGUGAACGCUGGCGGUAGGCCUAACACAUGCAAGUCGAACGGCAGCACAGUAAGAGCUUGCUCUUACGGGUGGCGAGUGGCGGACGGGUGAGGAAUACAUCGGAAUCUACUUUUUCGUGGGGGAUAACGUAGGGAAACUUACGCUAAUACCGCAUACGACCUACGGGUGAAAGCAGGGGAUCUUCGGACCUUGCGCGAUUGAAUGAGCCGAUGUCGGAUUAGCUAGUUGGCGGUGUAAAGGCCCACCAAGGCGACGAUCCGUAGCUGGUCUGAGAGGGUGAUCAGCCACACUGGAACUGAGACACGGUCCAGACUCCUACGGGAGGCAGCAGUGGGGAAUAUUGGACAAUGGGCGCAAGCCUGAUCCAGCCAUACCGCGUGGGUGAAGAAGGCCUUCGGGUUGUAAAGCCCUUUUGUUGGGAAAGAAAAGCAGCAGGUUAAUACCCCGCUGUUCUGACGGUACCCAAAGAAUAAGCACCGGCUAACUUCGUG